GCAGCCUUUGCCCAGACACAUUCUUAUGCAGCACAGGAGGUGUUGGCCUCCUUCUAGCUCCACCAAGUUCAGCACAACACCUCCCAAACACGUGUAAGCCUCCCACGAGAAGCUGAAUUGGACCCCAACCGUCACCCAUCGAGCGAAGCUUCACUAUUGAUCUUCACUGUCAGUGAGAGAUAUAAAGCAGGGAUUCUAUGAUAGGUGUGGAGGGACACCACUCAACAUCACCAUCCAAGACAGCAAUCCCGCGGGAAACUGAACACAGAAGCCCAUCA
Sinocyclocheilus anshuiensis is the source of this 278-nucleotide long non-coding RNA. RefSeq lists it as uncharacterized. The record is from RefSeq and is a predicted model, not a curated record. Lineage: Eukaryota; Metazoa; Chordata; Actinopteri; Cypriniformes; Cyprinidae. The transcript is spliced from 3 exons.